AGAGUUUGAUCAUGGCUCAGGAUGAACGCUAGCGGCAGGCCUAACACAUGCAAGUCGAGGGAGAAGCCCUUUCGGGGGCAGAAACCGGCGCACGGGUGCGUAACGCGUAUGCAACCUACCUUUCACAGGGGGAUAGCCCGAAGAAAUUUGGAUUAAUACCCCAUAAUAUUGUUGGAUGGCAUCAUCUGGCAAUUAAAGCUACGACGGUGGAAGAUGGGCAUGCGUCCUAUUAGCUAGUUGGAGUGGUAACGGCACCCCAAGGCUACGAUAGGUAGGGGUCCUGAGAGGGAGAUCCCCCACACUGGUACUGAGACAGGGACCAGACUCCUACGGGAGGCAGCAGUGAGGAAUAUUGGUCAAUGGUCGGAAGACUGAACCAGCCAUGCCGCGUGCAGGAAGAAUGCCUUAUGGGUUGUAAACUGCUUUUAUAUGGGAAGAAUAAGGAGUACGAGUACUUUGAUGACGGUACCAUAUGAAUAAGCAUCGGCUAACUCCGUGCCAGCAGCCGCGGU
This 512-nucleotide ribosomal RNA is filed under the name Capnocytophaga sp. oral clone 2-13. RNAcentral describes it as "bacterial SSU rRNA". It matches the Rfam family "Bacterial small subunit ribosomal RNA", at positions 8 to 521 of the family's 1533-position model. Lineage: Bacteria; Pseudomonadati; Bacteroidota; Flavobacteriia; Flavobacteriales; Flavobacteriaceae. The record is from RNAcentral.